GGUAAAAUUACAAGAUCAUAUGGUAAGUGUAUGUUUGACUUUUAUGAAACUGCCCAACUCUUUUCUGAAGUGGCUGCACCAUUUUGCAUUCCCACUAGCAAU
RNAcentral lists this microRNA precursor (102 nucleotides) under Marmota monax (woodchuck). The record is from RNAcentral. Lineage: Eukaryota; Metazoa; Chordata; Mammalia; Rodentia; Sciuridae.